This 482-nucleotide ribosomal RNA is filed under the name uncultured bacterium. RNAcentral's name for it is "partial 16S ribosomal RNA". It matches the Rfam family "Bacterial small subunit ribosomal RNA", at positions 30 to 507 of the family's 1533-position model. The record is from RNAcentral.
AUUGAACGCUGGCGGCAUGAUUUACACAUGCAAGUCGAACGGUAACAGGCCGCAAGGUGCUGACGAGUGGCGAACGGGUGAGUAAUGCAUCGGAACGUGCCCAGUCGUGGGGGAUAACUACUCGAAAGAGUAGCCAAUACCGCAUACGAUCUAUGGAUGAAAGCGGGGGACCGUAAGGCCUCGCGCGAUUGGAGCGGCCGAUGUCGGAUUAGGUAGUUGGUGGGGUAAAGGCUCACCAAGCCAACGAUUUGUAGCUGGUCUGAGAGGACGACCAGCCACACUGGGACUGAGACACGGCCCAGACUCCUACGGGAGGCAGCAGUGGGGAAUUUUGGACAAUGGGCGCAAGCCUGAUCCAGCAAUGCCGCGUGCAGGAAGAAGGCCUUCGGGUUGUAAACUGCUUUUGUACGGAACGAAACGGCUCUGGUUAAUACCCGGGGCUAAUGACGGUACCGUAAGAAUAAGCACCGGCUAACUACGUG